Struthio camelus australis is the source of this 514-nucleotide non-coding RNA. Lineage: Eukaryota; Metazoa; Chordata; Aves; Struthioniformes; Struthionidae. The record is from RefSeq and is a predicted model, not a curated record.
AGGGGGCAAAAGCUGCCAAGAAGCAGAAGAGCCUGGAUGGCAGUAUCUCAACUACUGAAAUGCCUGAUUAUCUUCAAAACUACUCUACACUUGAAAUCUUCCUGAUCGUACUUCAAGAAUUCGUUCCAGGUGGAGGACACAGCAGCCAGGGCUAUGGGGAAGAAUCUGAGGACAAGAAGCUCAUUCUCCACUACUGCUCUCUGUGCUGGUGUCAAGCACACACAUUACGAAAGACACCUUCUUUUAUACCUUGGAAGAGAUCCUUUAUGUCAUGAUAUUUUAAGAAAUACGGCAGCUCCAGAAUGAGCAGGGCAGACAGUCACUUUAGGGUGUUCUGUAUUUACCUGUGUUUAAGGUGUAUAGCGGUUAUACACCAGCUAUAGUCAAAGCCUCAUGUUCCUUAGAAUGAUAGGGCCUCUGUGCUAAGUAUUAACAUCAGCUAGUAACACAAGCAUUCGGAUGUCAGGUGUAAAAUAUUCCCUUUCAAAUGCUUUAAUAUAAAAAAAACACAAUG